CUACGUGCCAGCAGCCGCGGUAAUACGGAGGGUGCGAGCGUUAAUCGGAAUAACUGGGCGUAAAGGGCACGCAGGCGGUGACUUAAGUGAGGUGUGAAAGCCCCGGGCUUAACCUGGGAAUUGCAUUUCAUACUGGGUCGCUAGAGUACUUUAGGGAGGGGUAGAAUUCCACGUGUAGCGGUGAAAUGCGUAGAGAUGUGGAGGAAUACCGAAGGCGAAGGCAGCCCCUUGGGAAUGUACUGACGCUCAUGUGCGAAAGCGUGGGGAGCAAACAGGAUUAGAUACCCUGGUAGUCCACGCUGUAAACGAUGUCGAUUUGGGGGUUGAGCUUUAAGUUUGGCGCCCGUAGCUAACGUGAUAAAUCGACCGCCUGGGGAGUACGGCCGCAAGGGUAAAACUCAAAGGAAUUGACGGGGACCCGCACAAGCAGCGGAGCAUGUGGUUUAAUUCGAAGCAACGCGAAGAACCUUACCUAAACUUGACAUACCAAUGACAGCCUU
This 500-nucleotide ribosomal RNA is filed under the name uncultured bacterium. RNAcentral describes it as "bacterial SSU rRNA". It matches the Rfam family "Bacterial small subunit ribosomal RNA", at positions 501 to 1002 of the family's 1533-position model. The record is from RNAcentral.